CUGGCUCAGAACGAACGCUGGCGGCAGGCCUAACACAUGCAAGUCGAGCGGUCCCUUCGGGGAUAGCGGCAGACGGGUGAGUAACGCGUGGGAACCUAUCCAUCGGUACGGAAUAGCUCCGGGAAACUGGAAUUAAUACCGCAUACGUCCUACGGGAGAAAGCAGGGGAUCUUCGGACCUUGCGCUAUUGGAUGAGCCUAAGUCAGAUUAGCUAGUUGGUGGGGUAAAGGCCUACCAAGGCGACGAUCCGUAGCUGGUCUGAGAGGAUGAUCAGCCACAUCGGGACUGAGACACGGCCCGAACUCCUACGGGAGGCAGCAGUGGGGAAUAUUGGACAAUGGGGGCAACCCUGAUCCAGCCAUGCCGCGUGUGUGAAGAAGGCUUUCGGGUUGUAAAGCACUUUCAGUAGGGAGGAAAACCUUAUGGCUAAUACCCAUGAGGCUUGACGUUACCUACAGAAGAAGCACCGGCUAACUCCGUGCCAGCAGCCGCGGUAAUACGGAGGGUGCAAGCGUUAAUCGGAAUUACUGGGCGUAAAGCGCGCGUAGGUGGUUUGGUAAGCGAGAUGUGAAAGCCCCGGGCUUAACCUGGGAACGGCAUUUCGAACUGUCAGACUAGAGUGUGGUAGAGGGUAGUGGAAUUUCCUGUGUAGCGGUGAAAUGCGUAGAUAUAGGAAGGAACACCAGUGGCGAAGGCGGCUACCUGGACCAACACUGACACUGAGGCGCGAAAGCGUGGGGAGCAAACAGGAUUAGAUACCCUGGUAGUCCACGCCGUAAACGAUGUCAACUAGCCGUUGGGACUCUUGAAGUCUUAGUGGCGCAGCUAACGCACUAAGUUGACCGCCUGGGGAGUACGGCCGCAAGGUUAAAACUCAAAUGAAUUGACGGGGGCCCGCACAAGCGGUGGAGCAUGUGGUUUAAUUCGACGCAACGCGAAGAACCUUACCUGGCCUUGACAUCCAGAGAACUUUCCAGAGAUGGAUUGGUGCCUUCGGGAACUCUGAGACAGGUGCUGCAUGGCCGUCGUCAGCUCGUGUCGUGAGAUGUUGGGUUAAGUCCCGUAACGAGCGCAACCCCUAUCCCUGGUUGCUAGCAGGUAAUGCUGAGAACUCCAGGGAGACUGCCGGUGACAAACCGGAGGAAGGUGGGGAUGACGUCAGGUCAUCAUGGCCCUUACGGCCAGGGCUACACACGUGCUACAAUGGCGCGUACAGAGGGCUGCCAACUCGCGAGAGUGAGCCAAUCCCUUAAAACGCGUCGUAGUCCGGAUCGGAGUCUGCAACUCGACUCCGUGAAGUCGGAAUCGCUAGUAAUCGCGAAUCAGAAUGUCGCGGUGAAUACGUUCCCGGGCCUUGUACACACCGCCCGUCA
This 1373-nucleotide ribosomal RNA is filed under the name uncultured bacterium. RNAcentral's name for it is "bacterial SSU rRNA". It matches the Rfam family "Bacterial small subunit ribosomal RNA". The record is from RNAcentral.